GGAUUCCCCUAGUCAACGGCGAGUGAAGCGGGAAGAGCUCAAAUUUUAAAUCUGGCGUUCUUCGGGCGUCCGAGUUGUAUCUAGAAAAGUGUUUUCCGUGUUGGACCCACCAUAAGUUACCUCGAACGGUACAUCAUAAAGGGUGAGAAUCCCGUGUGUUGGUGGGACGCCCAGGGCUAUGCGAUGCGCUCUCGACGAUCGAGUUGUUUGGGAAGCAGUCAAAAGGGAGGUAAAUCUUUAAAGUAA
RNAcentral lists this ribosomal RNA (246 nucleotides) under uncultured Tulasnellaceae. Its description in RNAcentral is "partial large subunit ribosomal RNA". It matches the Rfam family "Eukaryotic large subunit ribosomal RNA", at positions 72 to 318 of the family's 3401-position model. Lineage: Eukaryota; Fungi; Basidiomycota; Agaricomycetes; Cantharellales; Tulasnellaceae. The record is from RNAcentral.